GGACCGUUAGCUCAGGUGGUAGAGCAACUGACUCUUAAUCAGUGGGUCUAGGGUUCGAGUCCCUAACGGUCCACCA
RNAcentral lists this transfer RNA (76 nucleotides) under bacterium. Its description in RNAcentral is "tRNA-Lys". It matches the Rfam family "tRNA". From Rfam's summary of the family: Transfer RNA (tRNA) molecules are approximately 80 nucleotides in length. Their secondary structure includes four short double-helical elements and three loops (D, anti-codon, and T loops). Further hydrogen bonds mediate the characteristic L-shaped molecular structure. tRNAs have two regions of fundamental functional importance: the anti-codon, which is responsible for specific mRNA codon recognition, and the 3' end, to which the tRNAs corresponding amino acid is attached (by aminoacyl-tRNA synthetases). tRNAs cope with the degeneracy of the genetic code in two manners: having more than one tRNA (with a specific anti-codon) for a particular amino acid; and 'wobble' base-pairing, i.e. permitting non-standard base-pairing at the 3rd anti-codon position. The record is from RNAcentral.